This 916-nucleotide ribosomal RNA is filed under the name uncultured bacterium. Its description in RNAcentral is "bacterial SSU rRNA". It matches the Rfam family "Bacterial small subunit ribosomal RNA", at positions 33 to 930 of the family's 1533-position model. The record is from RNAcentral.
ACGCUGGCGGCGUGCCUAAUACAUGCAAGUCGAACGAGAGCGACCGGUGCUUGCACUGGUCAAUCUAGUGGCGAACGGGUGAGUAACACGUGGGUAACCUGCCCAUCAGAGGGGGAUAACAUUCGGAAACGGAUGCUAAAACCGCAUAGGUUCUUGAGUCGCAUGAUUCGAGAAGGAAAAGAGGCUUCGGCUUCUGCUGAUGGAUGGACCCGCGGUGCAUUAGCUAGUUGGUGAGGUACGGCUCACCAAGGCCGUGAUGCAUAGCCGACCUGAGAGGGUGAUCGGCCACAUUGGGACUGAGACACGGCCCAAACUCCUACGGGAGGCAGCAGUAGGGAAUCUUCCGCAAUGGACGCAAGUCUGACGGAGCAACGCCGCGUGAGUGAAGAAGGAUUUCGGUUCGUAAAACUCUGUUGUUAGAGAAGAACAGCGCAUAGAGUAACUGUUAUGCGUGUGACGGUAUCUAACCAGAAAGCCACGGCUAACUACGUGCCAGCAGCCGCGGUAAUACGUAGGUGGCAAGCGUUGUCCGGAUUUAUUGGGCGUAAAGCGAGCGCAGGCGGUCAAUUAAGUCUGAUGUGAAAGCCCCCGGCUCAACCGGGGAGGGUCAUUGGAAACUGGUUGACUUGAGUGCAGAAGAGGAGAGUGGAAUUCCAUGUGUAGCGGUGAAAUGCGUAGAUAUAUGGAGGAACACCAGUGGCGAAGGCGACUCUCUGGUCUGUAACUGACGCUGAGGCUCGAAAGCGUGGGUAGCAAACAGGAUUAGAUACCCUGGUAGUCCACGCCGUAAACGAUGAGUGCUAAGUGUUGGAGGGUUUCCGCCCUUCAGUGCUGCAGUUAACGCAUUAAGCACUCCGCCUGGGGAGUACGACCGCAAGGUUGAAACUCAAAGGAAUUGACGGGGACCCGCACAAGC